CCUACGGGAGGCAGUAGUGAGGAAUAUUGGUCAAUGGACGAAAGGCUGAACCAGCCAAGUAGCGUGAAGGAUGACUGCCCUAUGGUUUGUAAACUUCUUUUAUAAGGGAAUAAAACGAGGCACGUGUGGAUUUUUGCAUGUACUUUAUGAAUAAGGAUCGGCUAACUCCGUGCCAGCAGCCGCGGUAAUACGGAGGAUGCGAGCGUUAUCCGGAUUUAUUGGGUUUAAAGGGAGCGUAGAUGGGUUGUUAAGUCAGUUGUGAAAGUUUGCGGCUCAACCGUAAAAUUGCAAUUGAUACUGGCAGUCUUGAGUACAGUUGAGGUAGGCGGAAUGCGUGGUGUAGCGGUGAAAUGCUUAGAUAUCACGAAGAACCCCGAUUGCGAAGGCAGCUUACUAAACUGUGACUGACAUUGAUGCUCGAAAGUGUGGGUAUCAAACAGGAUUAGAUACCCCUGUAGUC
Molecule: ribosomal RNA, 460 nt
Filed under: uncultured bacterium
Lineage: Bacteria
Description: partial 16S ribosomal RNA
Rfam family: Bacterial small subunit ribosomal RNA
Source: RNAcentral